Molecule: non-coding RNA, 30 nt
Filed under: Cricetulus griseus (Chinese hamster)
Lineage: Eukaryota; Metazoa; Chordata; Mammalia; Rodentia; Cricetidae
Source: RNAcentral
AUCUCAGUGAUGCAGUCUGUGGUUCUGAGA